RNAcentral lists this ribosomal RNA (155 nucleotides) under Sericorema sericea. RNAcentral's name for it is "5.8S ribosomal RNA". It matches the Rfam family "5.8S ribosomal RNA". Rfam says of the family: 5.8S ribosomal RNA (5.8S rRNA) is a component of the large subunit of the eukaryotic ribosome. The record is from RNAcentral. RNAcentral also lists the same sequence under 2 other names. Lineage: Eukaryota; Viridiplantae; Streptophyta; Magnoliopsida; Caryophyllales; Amaranthaceae.
CUCUCGGCAACGGAUAUCUCGGCUCUCGCAUCGAUGAAGAACGUAGCGAAAUGCGAUACUUGGUGUGAAUUGCAGAAUCCCGUGAACCAUCGAGUUUUUGAACGCAAGUUGCGCCCGAAGCCUUUUGGCCAGGGCACGCCUGCCUGGGCGUCACG